RNAcentral lists this ribosomal RNA (80 nucleotides) under Pseudomonas syringae pv. tomato. Lineage: Bacteria; Pseudomonadati; Pseudomonadota; Gammaproteobacteria; Pseudomonadales; Pseudomonadaceae. The record is from RNAcentral.
CUUGACGACCAUAGAACAUUGGAACCACCUGAUCCCAUCCCGAACUCAGCAGUGAAACGAUGUAUCGCCGAUGGUAGUGU